GAUCAUGGCUCAGGAUAAACGCUGGCGGCGCACAUAAGACAUGCAAGUCGGAACGGACUUAACCAUUAGUUUACUAUUGGAGCGGUUAGUGGCGGACUGGUGAGUAACACGUAAGCAACCUGCCUAUCAGAGGGGAACAACAGUUAGAAAUGACUGCUAAUACCGCAUAUGCCUAAGUACCACAUGGUACAAUAGGGUAAAGGAGUAAUCCGCUGAUAGAUGGGCUUGCGU
RNAcentral lists this ribosomal RNA (231 nucleotides) under uncultured bacterium. RNAcentral describes it as "partial 16S ribosomal RNA". It matches the Rfam family "Bacterial small subunit ribosomal RNA", at positions 15 to 236 of the family's 1533-position model. The record is from RNAcentral.